Molecule: non-coding RNA, 123 nt
Organism: Podarcis lilfordi (Lilford's wall lizard)
Lineage: Eukaryota; Metazoa; Chordata; Lepidosauria; Squamata; Lacertidae
Source: the annotation of a GenBank genome assembly
GGAAAAUGAAUACAGAGAGAGAGAGAGAGAGAGAGAGAGAGAGAAGACAACACUGACUAGCAGGGGCCCUUCUCUCUCUCUCUCUCUCUCUCUCUCUCUCUCUCUCCCCUUGUACAUCACCAG